Apis cerana (Asiatic honeybee) is the source of this 5530-nucleotide long non-coding RNA. RefSeq lists it as uncharacterized. NCBI's taxonomy places the organism in Eukaryota, Metazoa, Arthropoda, Insecta, Hymenoptera, Apidae. The record is from RefSeq and is a predicted model, not a curated record.
GGAGAGAGAUGGAUAGAUUGAAAGGAAUCGAAAAAAAGGAAAACAGGAAAAAGGAAGAGGCACUUGUUGUGUCGAUCGAACAUCCUGCGAAUAUGUUCGGAACACGUUCGAAGAAUUUAUACGGAAUGAAAUACAGGAUGUGUCGCGACAUGUUAUUUGACGGUUGAUGAACUCGAGACUUUUUUUUAGAUAGGGAAAAUAUAUACUUAUUUCUCGAAAAAGAUCCUUGGUUAAAUUAAUUCAUCCUAUAAUUUCAAUUCUUCCAAUUAAUACAAAUAUGUACAAAAAAGAAAACAAAAUUUCAAUGAUCUUUUUUUUUAAUACAUUGUCAAGAUCAUCGCCCUUUUUUCAUAAUCAUCAAAAAAAAAUCCAGGAAAAUCGUUCGAAUCGAAAGCUCCCUUGUUCCGAAAGAAAUACCACAAAAAUCAAAAUUUCUUUCCUGCUACACAAUUCGGGAUUAUAAAAGAGGCAAAUGGGAAACACGUUUACGUACCGGUCGAAGAACAGUUACAAUAGGCCCGCGAUUAAUUUCGUCGAUCAUUGUUGGACGACCGUAUCGAGGUUAUUUUAUUAAUAUCCAAUCGUAUUUCGAAAACGGGAGGUCGAAACCCGAGGGCAGCAAUAACCAUCCAUCCAAUUUGCGCGUGAUCGCAGAAAUGGACGCAAGGUGACUCUUUAUUAAAUCAAUUGCAACGGUGGCGGGAUGCGAGAGGGGAGAGGGGAGGGGUUGAUGCGCGGCCUGGUAGAUGGCUAAUUACGAAAAUAUUUGAUCUCUGUGAAAGAUCCGUGUUCCGAUGCGUGCGUUAUGUCCGCGUAUUACAUUUCGCGUACCACGAUAAAUCAUCGUUCCGUUUCUGACCGCUUGAAAUUUCUUGUCCCUCCGUGCGCGCCAUUGUUUCGAAGGAACGUUUGAAACGAGCUCGUCAACGCUUUUCGGGAUGACUAGGAUAAAUGGCUUAUAUACAGGGACGAUUUGUUACUGAAUAAUUUAAGUGUAAUUUUUUUUCCUGCUUGUUUACAUUGAGAAUCAUUUAAUGUUUUUCUAGAUUCGUGAUUUUUUUCUUUGGAUAAGUCGUUAACAGAUACGAGCAAACUGAGAUUGCUUUGUGAUAUUUUUAGAAUUCCUCUAGAAAUUUUCAUAAGAAUAUUUUUAUAUAGAAGAAUUUUACUUAUUUAAAGAGGUAUUUAUGUUAUGUUUGAAUUGGACUUGAUACAAAUUAAAAGAUAUAAAAAGGUAUUGUAUAUGGAUAAACAUUUUUGGAUGAAUAAUAUCAAUAGUCGAUAAAUCUUUAUCACGACACAGAGAGAAGUAAUUUGGAUGUAAUCGAGAGAAAUACACGGGAGAGAAGAAAAAAAAAAGAAGAGAAAAAUUUAUCGAACCACUGAAAAGGCACCACCAUUGGUACCCCGCCAUUUGUAACCAGGCGAUCUCGUUAUUGUUUUCAACGCGAGCCUGCAUAAUCGUGUCGCGAGGAAAAGGAUAAAUCGUCCUCUCCUAUUGCACCACUUUUACUUUAACUAUGAUUAAUGAUCGUGAAAUUAUUAAAGAUAAACUUUUGUAAGUCUUAAACGAUUGAAUAUAUGGAAUAUUCAAUAGCAGGAAGAAUUUUUAUCAAUAAUCUUAAAUCUAUUCUUCAAUAAUUCAUUUACAAGUUUACAAACACUUUUUUUGGUAUGAAAAAAUAUCUAAUUCUUUUAAUUAUAUCAUUUUUGAUAUAUAUAGAUACACGUAUAAUAUCGAUAUCAGCUAUAUCCAUUCUCCCCAUUUAACAUAUUCACCCUAAAUACCGAGUUUCAAUACAUUUUUUUUUUUUAGUUCGGUAUAUCAGAUACAUCCCUAUCUCCCCGCUCAAAGGGUUAACAUAUUCACCCUAAAUACCGUGAUUUUCGGUUUCUACGUGCGAUUUACAUUAAGACAACGCUCGACCGUCCCCAAAACGUAAUCCACGUGGGUUAAAAAGCAAAAAGCACAAAAAGCAAGGAGGCAUCGUAUAAUUAGAUUCUGCGAAUCCGUGGGGGAGCAUGAUCUAAAACGAGGUUGGUCCCAGUUACGGAAGUAAAAAUUCCCUGUCGAAGGACUCCUAUAGGGAGAGCGCACCCGCACAAACAGAAAUAUAAUUAAAAAGUGGUAGUUCGAUAUCGUGACGCGGGCUGAAUAAAACCGCGUAAUGGAUUUUUUCCAUUUAUUUGGUCCCCCCUCGAACUUCCUCCGCCUAUCAUGAAUUUUCACACGCACGCCAACUACCCUAACUUACGCGUAUACAUGAAAUUCCGUUCAUCUAUGUGUAUACAUAUACGGGGUGGGACAUUUAAAACAAAUCACCCGAAUAUCUUGGCUUAUUGAUGAUGAAAAAAAAAAUAUAUAUAUCACUUGCACGGUAUUGAGUGGCGUAUAAUUUGACGUAAAUCGUAUUUCGUAUAAAGUUCAGCUUCUUUUAUCCUCAAGCCAUGUUUUUGACGUAAAUAAAAUUUAAUUGAUCUACACUCUGACAUGGGCCAAAAGUAAUUCGAAUCAGACACAGUCGUUUCAUUUAUGUUAAGGAUAUCAUAGUAUCAUCUAAAACGCGAAAAAAAGGUAGAGAUUCAACGUGAACUGUAAGAGAAAAUAAUUUAUUUUUACGUAUGAACAUUGAUCGUCACAUUUGACGGGUUCAGCUAUCGAAAAUCUAUUUGCAUCAAAUUAUGCGCCAUAUUGGAUACCGUAUAAGUUUGGUGCGACACAUUUUUUUUUUCUCUCGCCAAUAACAACCGAGAUAUUCAAGUGGCCUGUUUUUGAUGUCUCACCCUGUAUAUACAUGGUACAACGCGUACGUGCACGUCACCAACGACACGGAGACCCAACCGAGUAAACGACUUCGGGUCGUUUUCCGCACCUCGGGAAAGAAGGGUAGGCGUGAGACGAUCCUACGUUAUAGACUAUACUCUGUCUCUUGGUUUCAAGACUUUUAUCCUCGUUUCUGCUUUACGAUUUCAUCCGAUACCCGUGCAUUCCUCCUUUAUGUAUUGUUCACCGCACACGUUUACCGAUUUUAUGUCUCCCUCCCCCCCGAAAUCUCUAUACAGGAUAGUUUACGAGGAGGGGGAUGGAUAAUUAGCCGGAUGAAUGGGGAAGUAAUCGUGAGAUCUUGUUCUCUUUUUUUUUCUAAAAUAAAACUAUUUUCUAACUUUUGGAAAGAAUUAAUUAUUUCUAUAUACGGUUUUAACCGUAAGAUUGGAGAUCAGUUGAAUUAUGCAAAAGUGUAAUUAUUAGAUGUUUAAAAUUGAGAUUGGAAACUUUUCUUUGAAAUAUAUGCAAAUAACUUUUGUUCGUCUCAAAAUUUUCUAUAAUAAUGUGUUAUAUAAUCAUAUGAAGAGAUUUGUAUUAUAUUAUUUACACAUCAUAUAAGAAGAAAAUAAAGUUAUACGAUAAUUUUAUCUACGUUAAAUUUAUAUAAUGAAACGAAUAAUGCCACAUAUUUUUCAUAUAUUAAUCUAUAAUAAUCUUGUUUUAUAAAAAUCCACGAUUUAAUUACUAAAACAUAUUAUAUAAAAAUUCCAUUUUUAUAUUAUCCUAUACCAAGAUAUGUUCGAUUUCAAAAUAUUGGUAAAUUAAAUUAGUAAUUACGGGAUGUUGUGAUACCAAUUUAAAAAUUUCGAGCAACGCGCGUUCAUGAGAAGAAUUACGAGAGCGGUGUCAAGUUUGUCCAUCUCGUUACCUCGUAUGUCCAUUGCAACGCGAUAAUGCGGCCACCAACGCAAGGAAAGAACGCAUCUUUCGCAAACAUGCUUUACACGCGUCCAACGAUACAUCCAGCUCGGCUCAGCCCAGUCAGCCGUGGAGUUAAUGGAAACGCCGGGGGCAUGGGAACGCAUACUAAGCAUCCUGACCUCUUCCUCCCUCCUAGGGUCUCACCUGAUGACUUUUCGACUUUUCCUCGCUUCCCUGGGAGACGGAGGUCACGAUGCUCCUUCUCAUAACUCCACCACGGCCGCGAACCUAUAAAUUUGCCGCGACAACGCAUAAAUCAGACGUGCGUGCCCGAACGUACACACGCGGCCAGACGACGACGACGACGACGACGACGACGAACUCCUCGAGGAGGAACGAUCAGCAUUCCGACCGCGGAGAGACCUUCGAUAUGCACACCGGCGGAGCAGAGUAAACACGAUCACCACCAUCAUGCUCUCUCUUUCUCGUCUCAAAGGGCUCGAACGAGAUAUAGCGAUGUUCGACACGGGUCCACCAUCUAUAAGGUCUAUUUAUCACGGGUCGAGGCGAAAUUACGGGCGCGUUUUCCUUACGUCGAAGACACGGGGGAAGGAUGACGUAAGGAUAUGAUUUCACACGGGAGAAUAGUUAUGACCGUUUUCGAAACGCGAAACUCGAGAUAUAAAAAAGAGUUACGAUUUUAGGAAGCGAAGAAGAAGUGUUUAGUUUUAGUUUCGAUAAUGACGAUAUUAUUUAUAUUAUAAAUAUAUAUUCUAGAGGCCGAAUCAAACAUAGAAAUUGGUAUGUAAGAGGUCGAUUCAAGAUUAUAUUUACUAGGAUAUAACAAGUAAUUUAAAUUCGCCGUGCUCGCAUCAUCCAUUCAAGGACAGCAAUCCUGUUUUCCCUUUCAAUUUUUUCCUUCCAUCUAUAUGUUUUAUACGACGCGAAAGGUACGAGAAGAGGGAAAACGUUAGCGGUGGAAUUUGCAUUACUCUUCAAAUUUCGCAACGUUUCGAUUAAUUUACGUGAAAGCAUCCUUUUUCAUUGGCAAAAAGAGCAACCGAAUUCGAAAUACCACAGCACGAUCGAACGAUCCAUUUGGAGAGAGCGUGUCGCCCGCGGAGAAACUUAUCAAAUUUUCCUUCGCUUCCCCCUCCUUUUUCUCGUCGAAACUUUUGUCGAUGAGAAGGAGACAAAAACCGGAAGAAAAAGAUGGAGGGGAAAAAAAGGGAGGGAGGAGAGGAGGGCUGGACAUGCAUCGUUGCGUCUACAGACCGUUCCAAAUCGGCCGACUCGGAUAUGGAGGUGGUACUUGGAGAAGAAGCACGAAAUGAUCGAUGACCGGCCGAUAUUGGUAGCGACAUAUGGAGUACCGUAUCCGCCAGGUUGCUCUUAUAAUGGGCAUUGCCGCAACCUUUUUCCACAAGCUGGAGAUGUCACGUCUCCGAUGUCAUUUGAGAGCAAAUUUCUACUUAACGACUCACAGGUGUAGAUAUGUGCAGGAAUUUUCGACGCAUCAUGAGAGACCGCCAAAAAAGAAAACAAAAAAGGAUAUACACUGUAUAUGCAACAGCGAAAUAAAUGAGCGAAAGGUGCCUCGAUUGGAUUUCACCGUUUCUACUUUGUUUUUCGAACUUGGUGAAAUUGUGCUACUUUUCAAUUGUGAACUUGUGAAAGAAAUAAAAUUAAUACUUUAAUCUUUUUAUAAAAAAUAAUAGCAGGAACUGAAAGGAAGCGGUAAUAUUCGAAAAAGCUUCUGGAAAAUAUCUAAUUUGAAAACUUAUCAUGUAUAAAAUAAAAAAUAAAUUUCUUGACUGAAUAAAAGAAAUUUCAUUUCAGUCA